Molecule: unclassified non-coding RNA, 141 nt
Filed under: uncultured Hysteriales
Lineage: Eukaryota; Fungi; Ascomycota; Dothideomycetes
Description: sequence contains ITS2
Source: RNAcentral
ACACCAUCAAGCCUGGCUUGGUCUUGGACGCGGUCGAGUGACCCGUCCGUAACCCGUUGGCGGUACAGUCCGGCUUCAAGCGUAGCAAAAAUUUCGCUUCAGGAGUCCGCGGCGGUGCCCGCCAGGUAACAACUUCCUAAA